GAAUCCAAUUUGUAGUGCUCCAAAACAUCAAUUUGCUUCUAUAUAAGUACUGCCAAAAGAGAUCGUUGCAACCCACAGAAAUUCAGAAGAACAACAUAACAUAGAGAAGGAAAAAAAGGACCUCAUGGAAAUAUUCAAGAAGAACACAAGUGCCCAGUGCUUGUUGGCUCUUGUGCUCAUGGCUACUAUCAUUUCGUCUUGUGGAGCGUUUGGCCCAGGUACAUGCAUCUGUGACCUAACUAUAAGUCACUGUGUUUUGCUAUGCAAUGCUAAUUUUCUAUGUAUUUCACAAUAUUGAGUUGUAUGGAUCUUACUGCAUCUGGUCGAUGGUGAAGCAUAGCUUUGCCAUGUUGUUGUCUGGGUAUUCUUCUAAACAAUAUUGUUUUUGUCAACAUGCAGAAGGAGGGUGGUGCUUCAUGCCUUUCGUGAGAUGCGAUCUGGACUUGUGCAAGCGUAGCUGCAAAGGUCUAUUUCCCUAUUGUGAACAGAUACAUGGAGUUUCUUCCCAAUGUUGUUGCUCUCCCAAGAAACUUAGUGCAUCUAUUGAUAAGAAUAGUCGUCCUUGAGAUGAAUUCCUAAAUAGUAAUUUAUAUGUCACUGGUCUUUGAUGGAUCCAAUUCCGGCUGAUUGAAUAAAAUUUAUGACCAUUAUUGAAGAAAUACCACUACAGAGAUACCACUACAGAGAUGUGAAACCGGGAUGCUUCAUUUGGAUGUUCCUUUCAGACC
Molecule: long non-coding RNA, 728 nt
Filed under: Triticum aestivum (bread wheat)
Lineage: Eukaryota; Viridiplantae; Streptophyta; Magnoliopsida; Poales; Poaceae
Description: long non-coding RNA (TAES_LNC013899)
Source: RNAcentral